RNAcentral lists this ribosomal RNA (253 nucleotides) under uncultured bacterium. RNAcentral's name for it is "partial 16S ribosomal RNA". It matches the Rfam family "Bacterial small subunit ribosomal RNA", at positions 524 to 776 of the family's 1533-position model. The record is from RNAcentral.
UACGAGGGGUGCUAGCGUUGUUCGGAAUCAUUGGGCGUAAAGAGUAUGUAGGCGGCCAUAUAAGUCAGUUGUGAAAUCCCCGGGCUCAACCCGGGAAGUGCAAUUGAUACUGUAUGGCUUGAGUAUGGAAGAGGGUAGUGGAAUUCCAGGUGUAGUGGUGAAAUACGUAGAUAUCUGGAGGAAUACCGGUGGCGAAGGCGGCUACCUGGUCCUAUACUGACGCUGAGAUACGAAAGCAUGGGUAGCAAACAGG